This is an RNA transcript of Lycium ferocissimum, 1955 nucleotides long. RefSeq lists it as uncharacterized. The transcript is spliced from 6 exons. Lineage: Eukaryota; Viridiplantae; Streptophyta; Magnoliopsida; Solanales; Solanaceae. The record is from RefSeq and is a predicted model, not a curated record.
AUUUCUCAGAAAGCCCCUAUAAAAAGUUGUAUUUCAAAUAGAGGCCCUAAGAAUUGCCCCGUCCUCAAUCCUAACCCAAAACCGAAACAACAGCGAGAAGAAAGAAGCAAAGAAACAAACAUCUAGAACCAUCAAAACCCAAAAGGGUCGUGUGUGUGUGUGUGAAUUUGUGCAUACAAAUCAAUGGGGGAAGAAGGGUCGGAGAAGAAAAGGGUAGUUGUGGAAUCAUUAGGAUGGCUAACAGAAUCCACCAUCAUGCCCAAAAAGAUCCGACCAAUUGAAGGCGUAGGUGCUUCUUCAAUCCUUGAACUUAAAGCCCAGUUAUACAAAUCUCAAGAAGAAUCCAAACGUGUUGCUAAAGAGACCAAUCCCCCUUGUGCUGCUGACCCGAAUUAUUCGCAUCUGGAUAUCCACCGGGCCAAGAAAAAGAUAACUGCUAAGAACGCCUAUUCGGCUAAGAAUCCUGGGGUUGAUGCUAGAGAGGCCAAGGACAAGCUUGAGAUGAAAGCAAUUAAAGAUGGAUCAGUAAGCUAUGCUGCCUUAGAACGAAAGGCUAAGUUAUAUGAUAAGCUGGUGAGGGGUGAGCUUUCUGACGGGGAGGACGAAGAGAAGUACUGUGUUGAUUUCUUUCGGAAGGGGCAGGAUCAGGGAGACUCUGAGCAGCUUCAACAGCAUGACACUUCUAACACUGAUCCAACAGAUGAAGAUGGAGAUGAUGAUGCCUCCCUACUAUCAGACACAAAAGCUGCAGGACUUGGCCGCCAAGCUGGCACAUUCGACAGAAGUGAACAUAAGCGUUUUGUAAUGGAGGUUCAUAAAGAAGCAAGUCAAGCAAGGGAAAAAGUAUCCGAACUCAAGCUCCGUAGGGAAGAACAAGUUGCAGCACGUCGAGAAAAACUAAAGCAGGCUUAUCUCCGCAAGCAGAUUGAGAAAUUGAAGGCUUCCAAGUCAGAGCAGACAUAGACUAGAGGGCUUUCCAUAAACUUCAUGGUGAUUGGUGACCCCAUUCUAUUUGGAAGAAUUUCGUCAUCUUUUACAUUAUGGAGUAUUGUGUGUGCAGAAAUUUUCACCAGAAUAUAAGCUUCAGGUUUAUUGUAGUCUCCAAAUAACACCGGGAGAUUAUUGGUUUCUUACUGACUGACAUCAUGAAGCAUGGGUGUUUUGGGCCUCAACAGUUGUGUUUGUUAUUUACCUUCACAAUUGACAAUUAUUCAAAAAAAUUGAAGUGCCUUUCAGAAUAUCAUUUGUUGUCCUUGGCAUAACGGAUUGCAUUCAGAACAUAAUAAAAGCUGCUACAAUUGCAUAGUAACCUGGAAGGCAAAAAGAAGCGGCAAAUGCUGUCAUAAUGUUUCCCACUAAACAUGUUUGCUACAUAGGGCAAAACUUUUCUUUUUCAGAACCUCAUGAGUGAGGCAAUCUUCUCUACACAUAAUCCAUGUAAAGAAAGCUAAGAAAGCUGCCUCCGAUGGAGUUUUGGAUCUCCAGAUUUGUUUCCAUGACCAAGGACUUGGACUCUGUUAGUGUUCUGUAUCCGUGUUAUGCUCUUUUGUGUUAUUUAGCUUCUGAUAUGUCUAAAAGACUGAAGAAUUUAGCAGCCCUAUUUACCUCCCAGUCAUUCGAAGUUCUUCUUAAGUGCUUUUGAGGUUGGAGGUUUAAAUCUCUGCUUCAUUUGAACAAGCCUGAGGUUAGUGAUCGCAAGCAUCAGCUUUGGCAACUUAAUUGCGGGAUGCAUAUUGCACCGUGAAGUUGUGGACUUUCUUAGAAGGGACCAAGUAGUUUCAAGUUUCGGUGCAGCUGUAUCAUCGAGUGGAGAGCUCAAUUGUUAUAUCAAGAAUGCUCCAAUGUAGAAAAAAUUGUGAAGGUUCCCUUGAUUUCGUUGCCUGUGUAUCAUGUACAAGCAAAUGUUUUGUAAUUUGGUGAAAGAAAAAUUCUUGAAUGUCUCAUAUUUUUACUGA